AGAGACCCUGGCUUCCAAAAGGACACCAACAGGUGGGAGGCCACAGGGGCAGAGGGGGGAGUAUAAGGAAGGCUAAACGCUUGAAAAGCCGGGUGCACGUGGCAAUGCCUGGGCAGAAUCCACCAGUCAUGCAAAGAGGACGAUACACUGUAGCACACAGGAGAAGAAGAAAGAUGGAAAGAUAAAGUCAGCACCCAAUUUGAAAUCAUAACCAAAUGUGAGAGCAUGAAGGAACAUAAAAGAACAGCAACAAGGUAAGCACCAACAAUGAUUUGAUGAAAUGUGAACAUAAGCUUCUGUGCCUGUCCAUUGUCUCUCUGAAGCAACACACCUUGCUGUGGCUGGUCAAAUGGAACCAAGUCAGGUGUUUCUGCGAGGUUUGGUCCCCUUCAACCAGCUACUGCGUCGUGAAUACAGCCAACAUACAUGACUCAAAAGAUUAUAAGAGUGUUAAUCCAUGCUUUUUGUAGAUAAAAGUGUUGUCUAAAAUGCUUUUCUUGGUUUGAAUAAACUAAAAAUAAUAAAAUUUACAACAUGUUGUUUUCAGUUUUCUCUAUAGUGUUUCUAAACAGCAUUGUAAAAUUUUAAAUAUCCAGCUGGUUACCGGUAACUUACUGUAGAUUUAAAAUUAUUUUAUUUACUGGCAACACAGUUUGUUCAAAGUUAAACGAACAUUAAACAUUAACAAGUCUUUGUCUUUACAGAAUAAAACUAUAAAAUAACAACCUCGUGCUAAACAUUCUAUGAACCAGAAAUUUUCAUCAACCUUUAUUUCUUUCAGAUUGUGUUUCGAGAAUGCUUAGUACUGUAAUUUUAGUUUUAUUCUGUAAAUAAUAUUUUUUUUAUACAACCAGCUUCCAGUAAUACUGUAAUUUCUACAGACAUUUUUUUUUAACUAAUUUUGUUUCAAAAUCUGUGUUUUUUUAAUUUAAAGAUACACAUCUGCACCAUAUUUGUUGUCUGUUAAUUGCAUCUUUAAG
This is a long non-coding RNA of Misgurnus anguillicaudatus (oriental weatherfish), 980 nucleotides long. RefSeq lists it as uncharacterized. The record is from RefSeq and is a predicted model, not a curated record. Lineage: Eukaryota; Metazoa; Chordata; Actinopteri; Cypriniformes; Cobitidae.